AAACGAAACAAAAGAAGGUAAAUAAAAAAAAAGAAGAGAAAAGAGAGAGAGAGAGAGAGAGAGAGAGAAUAAAUAAAAUAAAUAAAAAACAAAAUGUUCCGAUUGGAAAACGAAUCGUAGUCUCUUUGAAUAGGCUAACACAGAUCCUAAUCGCGUUGACGACAAAAGGAAUAGUCUAUUAUGAAUCGAUGCACGAGCGACUUUCCCACUUCCGUGUUACACGCGCAACAGGUCCUUGCAUCUCUCCAACACACGCUUGCUUCGGCGCGCACGAGUGCGCUAGCUGCUACUAGGUAGAAGAGGCGAAGAGCGCGACUACUAUUGUUACGUGCUUUGUCGUGCAAAUCGAUUUCCUAUCUGCUCAUACCGCGUUUUACUUGACGAUUGAAAACUUUGAAAAGAUAGGAAUAAAAAAAACGAAAACAUACACACACAUACACGCACACAAAACAAAAAAAAAUGAAUAGAAGGAAAAAAAAAAGAGGAAGAAGAAUAAGAAAAAGAGAAAUUAGAGAACGGCAUUACAUUAAAUCCGAUCACGAUUUAAAGAAAAAUUAAGAACUUUAAAUGAUUGGAAUACAUAUAUGGUAACGGGAAAAGAAUCCACGAAAGAGUACGAGAAAUUUCUAUCCAAUUCCUUUCCGGUUCUCCGAUCUCGUUGCCGGUUUCGACGCUUGGCUAUUUCUCGGAGACUGUGAUGCGUUGGCUGCGUGGGCGCGUUUAUUUGCAGACGCGACUCGAGCAAGGCGAAUUCCACGCUGGAUUACCCUGCCGAUCGGUCGUUCAAGCGGAUGGCGCUUGAAUGGCCCACGCCAUAUUCCGAGAGUACUAGAGAAGAGAAGAGAAGAAAAAAAAAAAAGAAAAAAAAAAGAAAGAAAUAGAAAAAAAAAGAAAAGAAGAAAGAACAAAGAAAUAAAUAAAGUAAACAAGUAAGAAAGAUGGAUAGAUCGAUGGUAGCCUAGACGAAAAUAUAGACAAAUACGGAGAGCAUAAAUUUUCUCGCGAUAAUGUUGAUGGUGGUGAUGGUGGUGGUGGUGGUGGUAGUGGUAGUAGUGGUGGUGGUGGUGGUGAUGAUGGCGAAAUCUAAAAUAAACGUUUCGUCGUCGAUCCGAAACGAGCUGGAUAAAAAUAAACUAAGCGUCCUUUAUAGUUGGAAGCCUAGAGCACGGAAUAUCAACGAUUCUACGAAUAGAGUCUUUACUUAUCUUUAUGUGUGUAUACAUAUGCGUGCGUGCGUGAGUGUGGGUGACGUGUAGGUUCGAGCCUUGUUGGAUUGGUUGCUCACCGAUAUAAAGGGGAGACGUGUCGUAGGCGUUGCAGGGUCCGGCAUGUCGCGUCUCGAGAACGAAGCCGGUGACGCAGGCGUCCUUGACGAUGUGACACCAGCUGGGAUAGGUGAUGUUGUUGGUCGCGCACAGCAUGGUCGUCGAUGGAUCUCGAUCCCGAUCACGAUCGCGGUGCGUCCGGUUCCGGACGCGCUCCCGCUUCCGGGGGCAACGGUCGACAUUGAACGCCACCUCCGAGAACUCUCCAAAAGAAAAGACUUCCACUGUCCAAAUCUUCAUCCGAGUAAGCCGUUGCUGCAGCCGCAUUCGACGCGCAACAAUCUUCUCUCGUGACACCUUGAGACAAUAAUUCCUUGCAGCGGCCAUUGCUGAUCGAUGACCAACAGAUACCACCUGUAAUAAAUCAACGACCGUCAUGAUAUCGAAAGAGAAGAUUUUUAAUCGACUUCGAUAACCAGUGUUAAUAUCGUAACCUCGAAAGAUCUCGAUGACUUUUUCCAUUUUAAAGUCAGACAUUAAGUUAAUCGAUCUUGAGAAUGUGUUUCGAUAGCUUGCAAUCCAACAUUGCGGUUAGACGAUCUAUCUAACCAUAUACGAAGUGUACUAUUGCAUAUGUAUGUGUUAAGCCACGAAU
This is a long non-coding RNA of Vespa velutina, 1920 nucleotides long. RefSeq lists it as uncharacterized. Lineage: Eukaryota; Metazoa; Arthropoda; Insecta; Hymenoptera; Vespidae. The transcript is spliced from 3 exons. The record is from RefSeq and is a predicted model, not a curated record.